This 514-nucleotide ribosomal RNA is filed under the name uncultured bacterium. Its description in RNAcentral is "partial 16S ribosomal RNA". It matches the Rfam family "Bacterial small subunit ribosomal RNA", at positions 28 to 523 of the family's 1533-position model. The record is from RNAcentral.
GAUGAACGCUGGCGGCGUGCCUAAUACAUGCAAGUCGAGCGAAUGGAUUAAGAGCUUGCUCUUAUGAAGUUAGCGGCGGACGGGUGAGUAACACGUGGGUAACCUGCCCAUAAGACUGGGAUAACCCCGGGAAACCGGGGCUAAUACCGGAUAACAUUUUGAACCGCAUGGUUCGAAAUUGAAAGGCGGCUUCGGCUGUCACUUAUGGAUGGACCCGCGUCGCAUUAGCUAGUUGGUGAGGUAACGGCUCACCAAGGCAACGCUGCGUAGCCGACCUGAGAGGGUGAUCGGCCACACUGGGACUGAGACACGGCCAGACUCCUACGGGAGGCAGCAGUAGGGAAUCUUCCGCAAUGGACGAAAGUCUGACGGAGCAACGCCGCGUGAGUGAUGAAGGCUUUCGGGUCGUAAAACUCUGUUGUUAGGGAAGAACAAGUGCUAGUUGAAUAAGCUGGCACCUUGACGGUACCUAACCAGAAAGCCACGGCUAACUACGUGCCAGCCGCCGCAGUAA